This 17-nucleotide transfer RNA is filed under the name Indocalamus sinicus. RNAcentral's name for it is "partial tRNA-Thr". Lineage: Eukaryota; Viridiplantae; Streptophyta; Magnoliopsida; Poales; Poaceae. The record is from RNAcentral.
GCCCUUUUAACUCAGUG